This is a small nucleolar RNA of Caenorhabditis elegans, 241 nucleotides long. Lineage: Eukaryota; Metazoa; Nematoda; Chromadorea; Rhabditida; Rhabditidae. The record is from Ensembl.
UUCGUAUUCGCUUUACAAUGACACUUCAAUCGGCGAACUUUGACGAAACAACUGCUUUGCUAGAAUUGAUGGAAAAUUCACAAUGGAAAUGAAAUAACUUGAAAUGUACUGUUUGAUUUUGAUAUUUGCAAAGUACUGAUUCAAUUGCUUUCACUGAACUCUCCUUUCAUCAGGUUGAGGCGUUACAGGACGCUUCUUCUCCACCUUUCCACUCGCAGUAGUCAAGCCCAUAUAAUGUUAG